CUACGGGAGGCAGCAGUGGGGAAUUUUGGACAAUGGGCGCAAGCCUGAUCCAGCCAUACCGCGUGAGUGAAGAAGGCCUUCGGGUUGUAAAGCUCUUUCAGCCGGAAAGAAAUCGUGCAGGUUAAUAACCUGUAUGGAUGACGGUACCGGAAGAAGAAGCACCGGCUAACUACGUGCCAGCAGCCGCGGUAAUACGUAGGGUGCGAGCGUUAAUCGGAAUUACUGGGCGUAAAGCGUGCGCAGGCGGUUUUGUAAGACAGACGUGAAAUCCCCGGGCUUAACCUGGGAACUGCGUUUGUGACUGCAAGGCUAGAGUGUAGCAGAGGGGGGUAGAAUUCCACGUGUAGCAGUGAAAUGCGUAGAUAUGUGGAGGAAUACCGAUGGCGAAGGCAGCCCCCUGGGCUAACACUGACGCUCAUGCACGAAAGCGUGGGGAGCAAACAGGAUUAGAUACCCCGGU
RNAcentral lists this ribosomal RNA (460 nucleotides) under uncultured bacterium. RNAcentral describes it as "bacterial SSU rRNA". It matches the Rfam family "Bacterial small subunit ribosomal RNA", at positions 339 to 791 of the family's 1533-position model. The record is from RNAcentral.